This 2923-nucleotide ribosomal RNA is filed under the name Escherichia coli. RNAcentral describes it as "bacterial LSU rRNA". It matches the Rfam family "Bacterial large subunit ribosomal RNA". Lineage: Bacteria; Pseudomonadati; Pseudomonadota; Gammaproteobacteria; Enterobacterales; Enterobacteriaceae. The record is from RNAcentral.
GGGUUGUGAGGUUAAGCGACUAAGCGUACACGGUGGAUGCCCUGGCAGUCAGAGGCGAUGAAGGACGUGCUAAUCUGCGAUAAGCGUCGGUGAGGUGAUAUGAACCGUUAUAACCGGCGAUUUCCGAAUGGGGAAACCCAGUGUGUUUCGACACACUAUCAUUAACUGAAUCCAUAGGUUAAUGAGGCGAACCGGGGGAACUGAAACAUCUAAGUACCCCGAGGAAAAGAAAUCAACCGAGAUUCCCCAGUAGCGGCGAGCGAACGGGGAGGAGCCCAGAGCCUGAAUCAGUGUGUGUGUUAGUGGAAGCGUCUGGAAAGGCGCGCGAUACAGGGUGACAGCCCCGUACACAAAAAUGCACAUAUUGUGAGCUCGAUGAGUAGGGCGGGACACGUGGUAUCCUGUCUGAAUAUGGGGGACCAUCCUCCAAGGCUAAAUACUCCUGACUGACCGAUAGUGAACCAGUACCGUGAGGGAAAGGCGAAAAGAACCCCGGCGAGGGGAGUGAAAAAGAACCUGAAACCGUGUACGUACAAGCAGUGGGAGCCUCUUAAUGGGGUGACUGCGUACCUUUUGUAUAAUGGGUCAGCGACUUAUAUUCUGUAGCAAGGUUAACCGAAUAGGGGAGCCGAAGGGAAACCGAGUCUUAACUGGGCGUUAAGUUGCAGGGUAUAGACCCGAAACCCGGUGAUCUAGCCAUGGGCAGGUUGAAGGUUGGGUAACACUAACUGGAGGACCGAACCGACUAAUGUUGAAAAAUUAGCGGAUGACUUGUGGCUGGGGGUGAAAGGCCAAUCAAACCGGGAGAUAGCUGGUUCUCCCCGAAAGCUAUUUAGGUAGCGCCUCGUGAAUUCAUCUCCGGGGUAGAGCACUGUUUCGGCAAGGGGGUCAUCCCGACUUACCAACCCGAUGCAAACUGCGAAUACCGGAGAAUGUUAUCACGGGAGACACACGGCGGGUGCUAACGUCCGUCGUGAAGAGGGAAACAACCCAGACCGCCAGCUAAGGUCCCAAAGUCAUGGUUAAGUGGGAAACGAUGUGGGAAGGCCCAGACAGCCAGGAUGUUGGCUUAGAAGCAGCCAUCAUUUAAAGAAAGCGUAAUAGCUCACUGGUCGAGUCGGCCUGCGCGGAAGAUGUAACGGGGCUAAACCAUGCACCGAAGCUGCGGCAGCGACGCUUAUGCGUUGUUGGGUAGGGGAGCGUUCUGUAAGCCUGUGAAGGUGUGCUGUGAGGCAUGCUGGAGGUAUCAGAAGUGCGAAUGCUGACAUAAGUAACGAUAAAGCGGGUGAAAAGCCCGCUCGCCGGAAGACCAAGGGUUCCUGUCCAACGUUAAUCGGGGCAGGGUGAGUCGACCCCUAAGGCGAGGCCGAAAGGCGUAGUCGAUGGGAAACAGGUUAAUAUUCCUGUACUUGGUGUUACUGCGAAGGGGGGACGGAGAAGGCUAUGUUGGCCGGGCGACGGUUGUCCCGGUUUAAGCGUGUAGGCUGGUUUUCCAGGCAAAUCCGGAAAACCAAGGCUGAGGCGUGAUGACGAGGCACUACGGUGCUGAAGCAACAAAUGCCCUGCUUCCAGGAAAAGCCUCUAAGCAUCAGGUAACAUCAAAUCGUACCCCAAACCGACACAGGUGGUCAGGUAGAGAAUACCAAGGCGCUUGAGAGAACUCGGGUGAAGGAACUAGGCAAAAUGGUGCCGUAACUUCGGGAGAAGGCACGCUGAUAUGUAGGUGAAGCGACUUGCUCGUGGAGCUGAAAUCAGUCGAAGAUACCAGCUGGCUGCAACUGUUUAUUAAAAACACAGCACUGUGCAAACACGAAAGUGGACGUAUACGGUGUGACGCCUGCCCGGUGCCGGAAGGUUAAUUGAUGGGGUUAGCGGUAACGCGAAGCUCUUGAUCGAAGCCCCGGUAAACGGCGGCCGUAACUAUAACGGUCCUAAGGUAGCGAAAUUCCUUGUCGGGUAAGUUCCGACCUGCACGAAUGGCGUAAUGAUGGCCAGGCUGUCUCCACCCGAGACUCAGUGAAAUUGAACUCGCUGUGAAGAUGCAGUGUACCCGCGGCAAGACGGAAAGACCCCGUGAACCUUUACUAUAGCUUGACACUGAACAUUGAGCCUUGAUGUGUAGGAUAGGUGGGAGGCUUUGAAGUGUGGACGCCAGUCUGCAUGGAGCCGACCUUGAAAUACCACCCUUUAAUGUUUGAUGUUCUAACGUUGGCCCGUAAUCCGGGUUGCGGACAGUGUCUGGUGGGUAGUUUGACUGGGGCGGUCUCCUCCUAAAGAGUAACGGAGGAGCACGAAGGUUGGCUAAUCCUGGUCGGACAUCAGGAGGUUAGUGCAAUGGCAUAAGCCAGCUUGACUGCGAGCGUGACGGCGCGAGCAGGUGCGAAAGCAGGUCAUAGUGAUCCGGUGGUUCUGAAUGGAAGGGCCAUCGCUCAACGGAUAAAAGGUACUCCGGGGAUAACAGGCUGAUACCGCCCAAGAGUUCAUAUCGACGGCGGUGUUUGGCACCUCGAUGUCGGCUCAUCACAUCCUGGGGCUGAAGUAGGUCCCAAGGGUAUGGCUGUUCGCCAUUUAAAGUGGUACGCGAGCUGGGUUUAGAACGUCGUGAGACAGUUCGGUCCCUAUCUGCCGUGGGCGCUGGAGAACUGAGGGGGGCUGCUCCUAGUACGAGAGGACCGGAGUGGACGCAUCACUGGUGUUCGGGUUGUCAUGCCAAUGGCACUGCCCGGUAGCUAAAUGCGGAAGAGAUAAGUGCUGAAAGCAUCUAAGCACGAAACUUGCCCCGAGAUGAGUUCUCCCUGAGACUUAGAGUCUCCUGAAGGAACGUUGAAGACGACGACGUUGAUAGGCCGGGUGUGUAAGCGCAGCGAUGCGUUGAGCUAACCGGUACUAAUGAACCGUGAGGCUUAACCUUACAACGCCGAAG